Molecule: ribosomal RNA, 520 nt
Filed under: uncultured bacterium
Lineage: Bacteria
Description: partial 16S ribosomal RNA
Rfam family: Bacterial small subunit ribosomal RNA
Source: RNAcentral
UGGGGAAUUUUGGACAAUGGGCGAAAGCCUGAUCCAGUAAUGCCGCGUGUGUGAAGAAGGCCUUCGGGUUGUAAAGCACUUUUGUCCGGAAAGAAAUCCUUGGCUCUAAUACAGUCGGGGGAUGACGGUACCGGAAGAAUAAGCACCGGCUAACUACGUGCCAGCAGCCGCGGUAAUACGUAGGGUGCAAGCGUUAAUCGGAAUUACUGGGCGUAAAGCGUGCGCAGGCGGUUGCCGUAGUCAGGUGUGAAAGCCUUGAGCUCAACUCAAGAAAUGCACUUGAUACUGGGUGACUAGAGGACCGGAGAGGAUAGUGGAAUUCCCAGUGUAGUGGUGAAAUACGUAGAGAUUGGGAAGAACACCAGUGGCGAAGGCGGCUAUCUGGACGGUUACUGACGCUAAGACUCGAAAGCGUGGGGAGCAAACAGGAUUAGAUACCCUGGUAGUCCACGCCGUAAACGAUGGGUGCUAGACGUUGCGAGCUUGUCGUCAGUGUCGCAGCUAACNCGUUAAGCACCCG